Molecule: non-coding RNA, 238 nt
Filed under: Leptotrichia wadei
Lineage: Bacteria; Fusobacteriati; Fusobacteriota; Fusobacteriia; Fusobacteriales; Leptotrichiaceae
Description: Group I catalytic intron
Rfam family: Group I catalytic intron
About the family: Group I catalytic introns are large self-splicing ribozymes. They catalyse their own excision from mRNA, tRNA and rRNA precursors in a wide range of organisms.
Source: RNAcentral
UAAUGAAAAGUUAAAUAAAUAUUCUUAAUUGCUGGAAACCUGUAAAAUGGUAAUCAGCAGCGAAGCCUUAGAUAAUACAAACCCAUAGGGAAGUACUAAGGAACGUUCAACGACUAGUCCGAAUGGACGUAGGAGAAAUAAACUCCGAAAUGGAAUAAAUCUAAAAUUUAUAGUAUAUUAAAUAAUAAUAUAUUUAAAUAUUUAGAUUAAGAUAUAGUCUGAACAAUAUUGAAAAAUA